This 950-nucleotide long non-coding RNA is filed under the name Capsicum annuum. Its description in RNAcentral is "long non-coding RNA (CANN_LNC001393)". The record is from RNAcentral. Lineage: Eukaryota; Viridiplantae; Streptophyta; Magnoliopsida; Solanales; Solanaceae.
AGUUCUCAAACCGCUAAAAAAUUAUUUUUUUCAUCAUUCCCAGUUCUUCGAACUCUAAAAAGGGGGGUCUUACUCUUUUUAUCAUUACAAAGCGAUAGGCCCCAUUCCAUUGAAAGCAAUAAAUACCUCUUCCAUUCCUUUAGGCUUAGAAAAUCAUUUACUAUCACCAAGUUCAGUCAUAAGUAAGGAAAUAGGAGUUCAAGGUCUGUUUGCCAUGCGUGUUGAACCCUUCAAAUGGGAAAUAUCCCCACCACAUUAUUUACCAGGAGGCAAAUGACUCUUUAGAGAAUAUUGAUAAUGAUGAUAUGGUAAUUCCACCUGUUCUUAAUCUAUCAGGUGACAAUAAUGGUAGCAAGGAAAGCACUAAAAGAAAAAGAAUGCCAAAGAAAACUGGAAUAGCUUUACUUAAACCGGAUAAUAAAAAGUUGUGGAUUUUGAAGAGUCAGAUACAGAUACUGAGAGCUUGUUCAAUGAUAGUGAGGAUGGUGAAUUUUAUCGUAUGUUUGAAAGCCUAAGUGACUAUUAGGAUGAGUCACUUGAUUCUGAUAUUGAGAAAUAUGCUACUGCUUUAAAGAAGAGAGUGAGAUGAAAAAAGGUUGCCUUACUAAAGAAAGAAAAGGGGUUGUUAGUAAAAAAACCAAUGUUCACUGUCACUGGUAAGACAAAAAAAUCAGAAAAAGGUUGUUGACAAUGGACCAGGUCCCAGUUCUAAAUCAGCCAGAACCUCAGAAGCACUUGGGACUUUUGGAAGGGGAACUGGUUCAUUAAAGAAGGGUACUUCAUCCAAUGAAAAGGGUUUGUCUCGAGAAGCAAGACAUUAGGUCCUUAAGACUCAGGAGGUCUUAAGAGGGAGAGUUUUCAAUCCAACCAUGGUUGACAUAUCGGGAAUUAGAGAGUUAAUUGACUGGGUGAAGUUUUAAAACUAGGGGAACUUAUUUAAAUUACCUGUG